RNAcentral lists this ribosomal RNA (560 nucleotides) under uncultured Choanoflagellida. RNAcentral describes it as "SSU rRNA". It matches the Rfam family "Eukaryotic small subunit ribosomal RNA", at positions 505 to 1073 of the family's 1831-position model. The record is from RNAcentral. Lineage: Eukaryota; Choanoflagellata.
GUAAUUGGAAUGAGUACAAUCUAAAUCUCUUAACGAGUAACAAUUGGAGGGCAAGUCUGGUGCCAGCAGCCGCGGUAAUUCCAGCUCCAAUAGCGUAUAUUAAAGUUGUUGCAGUUAAAAAGCUCGUAGUUGGAUUUCUGUUUCUGGGGUGCGGUCCGCCGCAAGGUGAGCACUGCAGCUCUGGGGACAUCCUCUCGAAGGCGGGUGGUGCACUUAAUUGUGUGCUGCUUGGAUUCGGGACCUUUACUUUGAAAAAAUUAGAGUGUUCAAAGCAGGCGUCGGCUUGAAUACAUUAGCAUGGAAUAAUGGAAUAGGACUUUGGUUCUAUUUUGUUGGUUUCUAGGACCGAAGUAAUGAUUAAUAGGGACAGUUGGGGCAUUAGUAUUUAAUUGUCAGAGGUGAAAUUCUUGGAUUUAUGAAAGACUAACUACUGCGAAAGCAUUUGCCAAGGAUGUUUUCAUUAAUCAAGAACGAAAGUUAGGGGAUCGAAGACGAUCAGAUACCGUCGUAGUCUUAACCAUAAACUAUGCCGACUCGGGAUCGGUGGGGUGAAUUUAGCC